This 253-nucleotide ribosomal RNA is filed under the name uncultured bacterium. RNAcentral describes it as "partial 16S ribosomal RNA". It matches the Rfam family "Bacterial small subunit ribosomal RNA", at positions 524 to 776 of the family's 1533-position model. The record is from RNAcentral.
UACGGAGGGUGCAAGCGUUAUCCGGAUUCACUGGGUUUAAGGGGAGCGUAGGUGGGUUGGUAAGUCAGUGGUGAAAUCCCCGAGCUUAACUUGGGAACUGCCAUUGAAACUAUCAGUCUUGAAUACUGUGGAGGUUAGCGGAAUAUGUCAUGUAGCGGUGAAAUGCUUAGAUAUGACAUAGAACACCAAUUGCGAAGGCAGCUGGCUACACAAUUAUUGACACUGAGGCUCGAAAGCGUGGGGAUCAAACAGG